RNAcentral lists this ribosomal RNA (253 nucleotides) under uncultured bacterium. RNAcentral describes it as "partial 16S ribosomal RNA". It matches the Rfam family "Bacterial small subunit ribosomal RNA", at positions 524 to 776 of the family's 1533-position model. The record is from RNAcentral.
UACGUAGGGUGCAAGCGUUGUCCGGAAUUAUUGGGCGUAAAGAGCUCGUAGGCGGUUUGUUGCGUCGGCUGUGAAAACCUGAGGCUCAACCUCAGGCCUGCAGUCGAUACGAGCAGACUAGAGUGUUGCAGGGGAGACUGGAAUUCCUGGUGUAGCGGUGAAAUGCGCAGAUAUCAGGAGGAACACCGGUGGCGAAGGCGGCAUCCUGGACCGGCAUUGACGCUGAGGCGCGAAAGCCAGGGGAGCAAACGGG